CAAUAUUAAAUAUACAUAUUUAUUAGACAAGUUUAUUUACCAAGAUAAGACCUAUAUUACUACCUUGACAUUAAUGAAAACAUCACUUUAAUGUAUAGGACACAUGGUUGCUAAUAACAUGGUUUUCAUUUCGUUUAAAUAUUCAUUAUUCGAAAUAUAUAGGCCCAGAAAGUUUGAAAUAAUUUUCGCUGCUAAAACUUUUCCGACCGUCCCCUGGCGAAGUUGCUCGUUUCCAAAGUUAAUUUGGUAUUGGAGUGAACAAGUAAAAAUCGCCAUGAAAGUUAUUCCUCGGGCAGUGAAUUGCAACCUCAACAAUACCUCAUAAAUUUAGAAGUAUUCAAAGGGGAAUUCAUGGUUGCGUAGAAUUUUACGAAUUCGCAAUGGCGUGAUGUUCUGGUUUUCAGGAGUACUUUUGCAGAGGGACAAAAGAUCAUUAAAUUUAUGGUAUAGUAUUUAUUAAUUGAGAUGAAUAAAUCGUAAAAAAGAAGAUCGCAUUUCCGGAAUUACC
This is a long non-coding RNA of Apis cerana (Asiatic honeybee), 508 nucleotides long. RefSeq lists it as uncharacterized. The record is from RefSeq and is a predicted model, not a curated record. NCBI's taxonomy places the organism in Eukaryota, Metazoa, Arthropoda, Insecta, Hymenoptera, Apidae.